RNAcentral lists this ribosomal RNA (448 nucleotides) under uncultured Escherichia sp. Its description in RNAcentral is "bacterial SSU rRNA". It matches the Rfam family "Bacterial small subunit ribosomal RNA", at positions 30 to 472 of the family's 1533-position model. Lineage: Bacteria; Pseudomonadati; Pseudomonadota; Gammaproteobacteria; Enterobacterales; Enterobacteriaceae. The record is from RNAcentral.
AUUGAACGCUGGCGGCAGGCCUAACACAUGCAAGUCGAACGGUAACAGGAAGCAGCUUGCUGCUUUGCUGACGAGUGGCGGACGGGUGAGUAAUGUCUGGGAAACUGCCUGAUGGAGGGGGAUAACUACUGGAAACGGUAGCUAAUACCGCAUAACGUCGCAAGACCAAAGAGGGGGACCUUAGGGCCUCUUGCCAUCGGAUGUGCCCAGAUGGGAUUAGCUAGUAGGUGGGGUAACGGCUCACCUAGGCGACGAUCCCUAGCUGGUCUGAGAGGAUGACCAGCCACACUGGAACUGAGACACGGUCCAGACUCCUACGGGAGGCAGCAGUGGGGAAUAUUGCACAAUGGGCGCAAGCCUGAUGCAGCCAUGCCGCGUGUAUGAAGAAGGCCUUCGGGUUGUAAAGUACUUUCAGCGGGGAGGAAGGGAGUAAAGUUAAUACCUUUGC